UUUGUCUGAAAUAUUAAUAUUAGGUUGGUGAAAAAGUAAUUGCAGUUUUUGCCAUUACUUUCAAUGGGAAAACCACAAUUACUUUUGCACCAACCUAAUAUGUGCAUUU
This 109-nucleotide microRNA precursor is filed under the name Chlorocebus sabaeus (green monkey). Its description in RNAcentral is "miRNA (ENSCSAG00000021482.1)". Lineage: Eukaryota; Metazoa; Chordata; Mammalia; Primates; Cercopithecidae. The record is from RNAcentral.